CACAUAUAACCCCAAAAUAAAGGGACUGUGGGCUCAGCUCAGCUUGUGAGGGUCUUGCCAGCAGCUUAGUCUCAUGCAAUAGGAUGGAGGUACUAACAGCCGUGUGUUCUAGGUGCAGAGGGAGCGCUCAAGAAGGCCCAAGCUAUCAGAUCAGCAAACUGAAGCUCAGAGGUCAAACUGCUCAAAUGGCACCGAAAUCCGAAGGAGCCUGAGGUCUUCGUGUGACACUACUCACGUGGAGAAUGGGGACCAGCAGAAGACUGGGGGACAGAGAAGCGGCUGGGAGAAGAGACCUUACCUUCAG
Molecule: long non-coding RNA, 304 nt
Organism: Hipposideros armiger (great roundleaf bat)
Lineage: Eukaryota; Metazoa; Chordata; Mammalia; Chiroptera; Hipposideridae
Exons: 3
Source: RefSeq, a predicted model, not a curated record